GCGGGUGUGGUGGAAUUGGCAGACACGUAAGAUUCAGGUUCUUAUGCCGUUAAAAGCGUACAGGUUCAAGUCCUGCCACCCGCACCA
This 87-nucleotide transfer RNA is filed under the name Clostridiales bacterium. Its description in RNAcentral is "tRNA-Leu". It matches the Rfam family "tRNA". Rfam says of the family: Transfer RNA (tRNA) molecules are approximately 80 nucleotides in length. Their secondary structure includes four short double-helical elements and three loops (D, anti-codon, and T loops). Further hydrogen bonds mediate the characteristic L-shaped molecular structure. tRNAs have two regions of fundamental functional importance: the anti-codon, which is responsible for specific mRNA codon recognition, and the 3' end, to which the tRNAs corresponding amino acid is attached (by aminoacyl-tRNA synthetases). tRNAs cope with the degeneracy of the genetic code in two manners: having more than one tRNA (with a specific anti-codon) for a particular amino acid; and 'wobble' base-pairing, i.e. permitting non-standard base-pairing at the 3rd anti-codon position. Lineage: Bacteria; Bacillati; Bacillota; Clostridia; Eubacteriales. The record is from RNAcentral.